GUAGGUGAACCUGCGGAAGGAUCAUUACAGUGAGGCUGCUCGGGCACCCCCCGAGUCCGCUUUCAAAACCCAAUGCUUACCAAUCCAGGUUGCUUCGGCGGGCCGUCCGGCCCAGCUGGCCACCGGCUUCGGCCGGUGAGCGCCCGUCAGAGGACCGUAAAAAUCAGGUGUACCGGCAGUCAGAGCCCAAAGUAAAAUGAAGCAAAACUUUCAACAACGGAUCUCUUGGUUCCGGCAUCGAUGAAGAACG
RNAcentral lists this unclassified non-coding RNA (250 nucleotides) under plant metagenome. RNAcentral's name for it is "partial contains small subunit ribosomal RNA, internal transcribed spacer 1, and 5.8S ribosomal RNA". The stretch from base 206 to 250 matches the Rfam family "5.8S ribosomal RNA", at positions 1 to 45 of the family's 154-position model. The record is from RNAcentral.